GGGAAGGUGGCUCAGUGGUAGAGUGCUUGCCUUGCAUGCAUGAGGCCAUGGGUUCGAUUCCUCAGAACCA
Molecule: transfer RNA, 70 nt
Filed under: Dipodomys ordii (Ord's kangaroo rat)
Lineage: Eukaryota; Metazoa; Chordata; Mammalia; Rodentia; Heteromyidae
Rfam family: tRNA
About the family: Transfer RNA (tRNA) molecules are approximately 80 nucleotides in length.
Source: Rfam by way of RNAcentral